This 301-nucleotide ribosomal RNA is filed under the name uncultured bacterium. Its description in RNAcentral is "partial 16S ribosomal RNA". It matches the Rfam family "Bacterial small subunit ribosomal RNA", at positions 509 to 807 of the family's 1533-position model. The record is from RNAcentral.
CAGUCGCCGCGGGAAAACGUAGGGGGCUAGCGUUGCUCGGAAUUACUGGGCGUAAAGGGAGCGUAGGCGGAUGAAUUAGUCAGGGGUGAAAUCCCGGGGCUCAACCUCGGAACUGCCUUUGAAACUAGAUGACUGGAAUCUUGGAGAGGUCAGUGGAAUUCCGAGUGUAGAGGUGAAAUUCGUAGAUAUUCGGAAGAACACCAGUGGCGAAGGCGACUGACUGGACAAGUAUUGACGCUGAGGUGCGAAAGCGUGGGGAGCAAACAGGAUUAGAUACCCCUGUAGUCCAUGUCUCUUAUAC